UUUCCGGUUGAUCCCGCCAGAGGUUACUGCUAUCGAGGUUCGACUAAGCCAUGCGAGUCGAAUGUAGCAAUACAUGGCGUACUGCUCAGUAACACGUGGACAACCUGCCCUUAGGACGGGUAUAAACCCGGGAAACUGGGUAUAAUUCCCGAUAGGUCUCGUCUGCUGGAAUGCAUCGAGAUCCAAAGCUCCGGCGCCUAAGGAUGGGUCUGCGGCCUAUCAGGUAGUAGUGGGUGUAGCGUACCUGCUAGCCUACAACGGGUACGGGUUGUGAGAGCAAGAGCCCGGAGAUGGAUUCUGAGACACUAAUCCAGGCCCUACGGGGUGCAGCAGGCGCGAAAACUUUACAAUGCUGGGAACAGCGAUAAGGGAACCUCGAGUGCCAGGUUACAAAUCUGGCUGUCGUGAUGCCUAAAAAGCAUUAUAUAGCAAGGGCCGGGCAAGACCGGUGCCAGCCGCCGCGGUAAUACCGGCGGCUCGAGUGGUGGCCACUUUUAUUGGGCUUAAAGCGUUCGUAGCUGGGUUGUUAAGUCUCUUGGGAAAUCUGGCGGCUUAACCGUCAGGCGUCUAAGGGAUACUGGCAAUCUUGGAACCGGGAGAGGUGAGGGGUACUUCGGGGGUAGGAGUGAAAUCCUGUAAUCCUCGAGGGACCACCUGUGGCGAAGGCGCCUCACCAGAACGGCUUCGACAGUGGGGGACGAAAGCUGGGGGAGCAAACCGGAUUAGAUACCCGGGUAGUCCCAGCCGUAAACUAUGCGCGUUAGGUGUAUCGGUGACCACGAGUUACCGAGGUGCCGAAGGGAAACCGUGAAACGUGCCGCCUGGGAAGUACGGUCGCAAGGCUGAAACUUAAAGGAAUUGGCGGGAA
This 868-nucleotide ribosomal RNA is filed under the name uncultured archaeon. RNAcentral's name for it is "bacterial SSU rRNA". It matches the Rfam family "Archaeal small subunit ribosomal RNA", at positions 1 to 874 of the family's 1478-position model. The record is from RNAcentral.